UGUCUGAAAUAUAUAUAACGAUGUUAGCUUCAUCUUUUCAUCAAAGUUAUUGACGACUUAAAAAGUGUAUAGAGUGGCUGGUAAGCAAUACUCCCAGCAUUGCAAAACUCCCAGCAAAAGAUAAAUUGUCUCGUCAACUAAAACAGAAUAUACAAGAGAUGGAGCACAUGCUUAGUGAAUCUACCUCAGAUGUUGAUCUUCCACUAGUGUUUUGAGAUGAAAUUGAUGAAAGAAGUGAAGUGGGAUAGAGAUGGAAUCAGAAAAGGACACGAAAAGUGCAAAAGAAGAGAAACCGCAAGUACCGCUCAACGCCAAUUACCGCUGAGCAGCACUCUCAAAGACUCGUUGGCACCGCUGAGGGGAAAAAUGCCGCUGAGGGGAAGAAAUGAUCACACGCUACUACCGUUGAGCGGUAUUUACCGCUAAGCGGCACUUUUCUGGGCUUGGGCCUACUUUUCUGUAUUUUUUAGAAUAAUAUAUAACCUUUAGGACAUCCUAGGGUUUGUAUCUUUGGCUGGAAUGAAGCAGAAACACACUUUUCACUCCUUGGGGGUAGAAUUGGAGAUGGUGACGGCUCUCCUCUUCUCUUUCUCGGGUUUUUCUAUCUCUUCCAUUCUUUCAUUCCAUUGUUCAUCUAGUUCUUCCAUGAAUAUGGUAAACUAAACUUAUUUUGUUGUUGGGGAAUCAAUGUAAAUCCUUAGAAACUCUCUUGUAUGGAAUUUGUUCUUCAAGAUCAUUUUUAUGA
Vigna angularis (adzuki bean) is the source of this 745-nucleotide long non-coding RNA. RefSeq lists it as uncharacterized. The record is from RefSeq and is a predicted model, not a curated record. The transcript has 2 exons. NCBI's taxonomy places the organism in Eukaryota, Viridiplantae, Streptophyta, Magnoliopsida, Fabales, Fabaceae.